RNAcentral lists this ribosomal RNA (253 nucleotides) under uncultured bacterium. RNAcentral describes it as "partial 16S ribosomal RNA". It matches the Rfam family "Bacterial small subunit ribosomal RNA", at positions 524 to 776 of the family's 1533-position model. The record is from RNAcentral.
GACAGAGGGUGCAAACGUUGUUCGGAAUUACUGGGCGUAAAGCGCGUGUAGGCGGCUUGGCAAGUCGGGUGUGAAAGCCCUGGGCUCAACCUAGGAAGUGCACUCGAAACUGCUUCGCUUGAGUGUCGGAGAGGAAAGCGGAAUUCUCGGUGUAGAGGUGAAAUUCGUAGAUAUCGAGGGGAACACCGGUGGCGAAGGCGGCUUUCUGGACGAUAACUGACGCUGAGACGCGAAAGCGUGGGGAGCAAACAGG